This 207-nucleotide ribosomal RNA is filed under the name uncultured bacterium. Its description in RNAcentral is "partial 16S ribosomal RNA". It matches the Rfam family "Bacterial small subunit ribosomal RNA", at positions 568 to 774 of the family's 1533-position model. The record is from RNAcentral.
CGCGUAGGCGGACUGUCAAGUCGGAAGUGAAAACCGGAGGCUUAACCUCAGGCUUGCUUUCGAUACUGUCAGUCUUGAGUACAGGAGAGGAAAGCGGAAUUCCAGGUGUAGCGGUGAAAUGCGUAGAUAUCUGGAAGAACACCAGUAGCGAAGGCGGCUUUCUGGUCUGAUACUGACGCUAAAGCGCGAAGGCUAGGGGAGCAAACA